Symphalangus syndactylus (siamang) is the source of this 227-nucleotide long non-coding RNA. RefSeq lists it as uncharacterized. The record is from RefSeq and is a predicted model, not a curated record. NCBI's taxonomy places the organism in Eukaryota, Metazoa, Chordata, Mammalia, Primates, Hylobatidae.
UCUCUUGGCUCUUUUGCUCUGAGGGAAGCCAGCUGCCCUGUCAUGACGGCCACUUUGGAGGCAGAUUCUCCAGCCUCGGUCAGGCCUUCAGAUGACUGCAGCCCUGGCUGAUGACUUGACUGCCACCUCAUGAGAGACCUUGAGCCAGAACCACCCAGCAAAGCCACUCCUGGAUUCUUGAUCCACAGACACUAUGUGAGACAAUAAACGUUUAUUGUUUAAAGCCA